This 494-nucleotide ribosomal RNA is filed under the name Chrysolina aurichalcea. Its description in RNAcentral is "partial 16S large subunit ribosomal RNA". It matches the Rfam family "Bacterial large subunit ribosomal RNA", at positions 1841 to 2598 of the family's 2925-position model. Lineage: Eukaryota; Metazoa; Arthropoda; Insecta; Coleoptera; Chrysomelidae. The record is from RNAcentral.
UAAUUUAAGGUCUAGCCUGCCCACUGAAAUUUUAAAUGGCCGUGGUAUUUUGACCGUGCUAAGGUAGCAUAAUCAUUAGUUUCUUAAUUAGGAACUGGAAUGAAAGGUUGGAUAAGAAAAUAGCUGUCUCUAUUAAAAUUAAUUGGAAUUUUAUUUUUAAGUUAAAAAGCUUAAUUAAUAUUAAAAGACGAGAAGACCCUAUAGAGUUUAAUUAUUGUUUAAAAUUUAUAUUUUAGUAUUAAAUUAUUAAUUUUAUAAAAUAAUUUAAUUGGGGUGAUUAAAAAAUUUACUAAACUUUUUUUAUUUUAUAACAUUAAUUUAUGAUUAAAUGAUCCGAUAUUUUCGAUUAUAAGAUUAAAUUACCUUAGGGAUAACAGCGUAAUUUUUUUUGAAAGUUCAUAUUAAAAAAAGAGAUUGCGACCUCGAUGUUGGAUUAAAAUAAAUUUCUGGUGUAGAAGCUUGAAUAUUAGGUCUGUUCGACCCUUAAAAUUUUA